Molecule: ribosomal RNA, 274 nt
Filed under: uncultured bacterium
Lineage: Bacteria
Description: partial 16S ribosomal RNA
Rfam family: Bacterial small subunit ribosomal RNA
Source: RNAcentral
AUACGGAGGGUGCAAGCGUUAUCCGGAAUCAUUGGACUUAAAGGGUCCGUAGGCGGACUAUUAAGUCAGAGGUGAAAUCCCACAGCUCAACUGUGGAACUGCCUUUGAUACUGGUAGUCUUGAGUUAUAUGGAAGUAGAUAGAAUGUGUAGUGUAGCGGUGAAAUGCAUAGAUAUUACACAGAAUACCGAUUGCGAAGGCAGUCUACUACGUAUAUACUGACGCUAAGGGACGAAAGCGUGGGGAGCGAACAGGAUUAGAAACCCCAGUAGUCC